This 579-nucleotide ribosomal RNA is filed under the name Naganishia albida. RNAcentral's name for it is "eukaryotic LSU rRNA". The stretch from base 143 to 296 matches the Rfam family "5.8S ribosomal RNA". The record is from RNAcentral. Lineage: Eukaryota; Fungi; Basidiomycota; Tremellomycetes; Filobasidiales; Filobasidiaceae.
UGUCGAGCUUGCUCACAGGCACAUCAUAUCCAUAACACCUGUGCACUUGUCGGAUGGCUUAGUGAAGACCGCAAGGUUGGAUCUAUCCAUCUACUUUACAUAACAAUUCUGUAACAAAUGUAGUCUUAUUAUAACAUAAUAAAACUUUCAACAACGGAUCUCUUGGCUCUCGCAUCGAUGAAGAACGCAGCGAAAUGCGAUAAGUAAUGUGAAUUGCAGAAUUCAGUGAAUCAUCGAAUCUUUGAACGCACCUUGCGCUCCUUGGUAUUCCGAGGAGCAUGCCUGUUUGAGUGUCAUGAAAACCCUCAACCCUAGAUUGGUUAAAACCUUUCUUUGGUUUGGAUUUGGACGUUUGCCGAUGAUAAGUCGGCUCGUCUUAAAAGUAAUAGCUGGAUCUGUCUCGCGACAUGGUUUGACUUGGCGUAAUAAGUAUUUCGCUAAGGACAUCUUCGGAUGGCCGCGUUGCAGGACUAAAGACCGCUUUCUAAUCCAUUGAUCUUACGAUUAAUAUUCUUGACAUCUGGCCUCAAAUCAGGUAGGACUACCCGCUGAACUUAAGCAUAUCAAUAAGCGGAGGAA